RNAcentral lists this ribosomal RNA (905 nucleotides) under uncultured bacterium. RNAcentral's name for it is "bacterial SSU rRNA". It matches the Rfam family "Bacterial small subunit ribosomal RNA", at positions 1 to 917 of the family's 1533-position model. RNAcentral also lists the same sequence under 1 other name. The record is from RNAcentral.
UGGAUCCAGACUUUGAUUAUGGCUCAGGACGAACGCUGGCGGCGCGCCUAACACAUGCAAGUCGAACGGAGCUGAGAGGAGCUUGCUUUUCUUAGCUUAGUGGCGAACGGGUGAGUAACGCGUGAGUAACCUGCCCUGGAGUGGGGGACAACAGUUGGAAACGACUGCUAAUACCGCAUAAGCCCACGGAUCCGCAUGGAUCUGCGGGAAAAGGAUUUAUUCGCUUCAGGAUGGACUCGCGUCCAAUUAGCCAGUUGGUGAGGUAACGGCCCACCAAGGCGACGGUUGGUAGCCGGACUGAGAGGUUGAACGGCCACAUUGGGACUGAGACACGGCCCAGACUCCUACGGGAGGCACCAGUGGGGGAUAUUGCACAAUGGGGGAAACCCUGAUGCAGCGACGCCGCGUGGGGGAAGAAGGUUUUCGGAUUGUAAACUCCUGUCGUUAGGGACGAUAAUGACGGUACCUAACAAGAAAGCACCGGCUAACUACGUGCCAGCAGCCGCGGUAAAACGUAGGGUGCAAGCGUUGUCCGGAAUUACUGGGUGUAAAGGGAGCGCAGGCGGACCGGCAAGUUGGAAGUGAAAACUAUGGGCUCAACCCAUAAAUUGCUUUCAAAACUGCUGGCCUUGAGUAGUGCAGAGGUAGGUGGAAUUCCCGGUGUAGCGGUGGAAUGCGUAGAUAUCGGGAGGAACACCAGUGGCGAAGGCGACCUACUGGGCACCAACUGACGCUGAGGCUCGAAAGCAUGGGUAGCAAACAGGAUUAGAUACCCUGGUAGUCCAUGCCGUAAACGAUGAUUACUAGGUGUUGGAGGAUUGACCCCUUCAGUGCCGCAGUUAACACAAUAAGUAAUCCACCUGGGGAGUACGACCGCAAGGUUGCAACUCAAAUGAAUUGACGGA